Molecule: long non-coding RNA, 5600 nt
Filed under: Homo sapiens (human)
Lineage: Eukaryota; Metazoa; Chordata; Mammalia; Primates; Hominidae
Description: HSALNT0016000
Source: RNAcentral
GGUCCACUCCAGACCCUGUUUGCCUGGGUAUCACCAGCAGAGGCUGCAGAAGAGCAACGAUUGCUGCCUGUUUCUUCCUCUGGAAGCUUUGUUCCAGAGGAGCACCCACCAGAUGAAAGCUGGAGCUCUCCUGUAGGAGGUGUCUGUUGACCCCUGCUGGGAGCUUUCUCCCAGUCAGGAGGCACAGGGGUCAGACUGCCAUCUGAGGAGGCACUGUGCUGGGAGAUCCACUGCUCUCUUCAGAGCCAGCAGGCAAGAACAAGUCUGCCAAAGCUGUGCCCACAGCCGCCCCUUCCCCCAGGUGCUCUGCCCCAGGGAGAUGGGAGUUAUAUCUAUAAGCCCUUGACUGGAAAUACUGAUGAAUAAAAUUGAAAAGGACACAAAAAUGAAAAAAAAACUCAUUAUCAGUUGGAAGAAUUGAUACUAUCAGAAUGACAAUACUACCCCCAAACAAUUUAUAGAUUCAAUGCAAUCCCUAUCAAAAUACCAAUGACAUUCUUCACAGAAAUUUUUAAAAGUCUUACAAUUUAUGUGGAACCAUAAAAGACCCUAAUUAGCUGAAGCAAUUCUGAGAAAAAAGAACAAAUCUGGAGGCAUCACACUGUAUAACUUUAAAAUUUAUGACAAAGCUAUAGUAACCAAAUCAGCAUGGUACUGGCACAAGAAUAGACACACAGACCAAUGGAGUAGAACAGAAAAUUCAUUUAUGAAUCCACACAUUUAUAGCAAAUUCAUCUUCAACAAAUGUGCUAAGAAGGACCACCUCUUUAAUAAAUGGUGCUGGGAAAUUUGGUUAACUAUAGUCAAAAGAAUGAACCUUAGAUCUAAAUCUCUUACCAUCCACAAACAAAAAUAGAUUAAAGGUUUAAAUCUAAGACCUGAAACUGUGAAACUACUAGAAGAAAGCAUUGGGAAAAUGCUCCAGGACAUUGGUCUAGGCAAAAAUUUUCUGUGUAAAACCUCACAAGCACAAUCAAUCAAAGCAAGAAAUAGACAAAUGUUAUUCCAUCAAGCUAAGAAGCUUCUGCACAGCAAAGGAAACAAUCAGCAAGCGAAGGAAGACACAACCUAUAGAAUAGGAGAAAAUAUUUGCAAACUACCAACCUGACAAGGGAUUAAUAAACCAGAGUUUAUAAGGAGCUCAAAAAACUCAGUAGAAAAAAAACCCAGCAAAUAAUUUAAUUAAAAAAUGCACAAAAGACCUGAAUAGACAUUUCUCAAAAGAAGACAUACAAUGGCCAACAAAUAUAUGAAAAAUAUGCUCAACAUCACUAAUCAUCAGGAGAAUGCAAAUCAAAAUUACAGUGAGGUAUUAUCUUACUCCAGAUAAAAUUGCUUUUAUCAAAAAGACAGGAAAUAACAGGUGCUGGCGAUGAUGUGGAGAAAGGGGAACCCUCAUACACUUUUGGUGGGAAUAUAAAUUAGGAAAGUCACAAUGGAGAAUAGUAUGGAGAUUCCUCAAAAAACUAAAAAUAGAACUGCUCUACCAUCCAGGAAUCCUGCUACUGUGUAUAUCCAAAAGAAAGAAAAUCAAUAUAUUGAAGGGAUACCGACACUCCCAUGUUUAUCACAGCAUUAUGAACAAUAGAAAAGAUAUAGAAUAAACCUAAGUACCCAUCAACAAAUGAAUGGAGAAAAUGUGGUACAUAUACACAAUGGAAUAUUAUACAGCCAUAAGAAAGAAUGAAAUCCUGUCAUUUGCAGCAACAUGGAUGGAAGUGGAGGUCAUCAUAUCAAGCUAAAUAAGCCAGGCACAGAAAAACAGUUAUUGCAUGUUCUCACUCAUAUGUGGGAGCCAAAAACUGGAUUUCAUGAAGAGAGAGUGGAAUGAUAGUUACCAGAGGCUUGGAAGGGAAGGGGAGAGAGAGGUAUGAAGAGAAGUUGGUUAAUGUGUGCAAAAAUACAGUUAGCUAGAAAGAAUAAAUUCUAGUAUUCAAUAGCAAAGUGGGGAAAUUUUAGUUAAAUAAUAAACUAUAUAUUUAAAAAUAAAAUAAUAUAUUGUACAUUUUAAAAUAUCCAGAAGAAAUAUAAUGUUUCCAACAUGAAGCAAGAUAAAUGUUUGAGGUGAUGGAUAUCCCAAUCACACUUGUUUGAUUAUUACACAAUGUAUACAUGUAUCAAAUAUUACACAUACCCCCAAAAAUGUACAACUAUGAUGUAUUAAUUUAAAACACACAAAAAAUUCCUUUGUCUGUUUUCUAGAAAUAUUAUAUUUUCACUUUUACACUUAAAUCUAUAAUCCACAUAAAGUGAUUUUUUUCAUGUUGCGUAUAGUGAGAAAAAAAAGUUUGUUUGUUUUUCUUAUAAGUACCCUGUUGUUCCAACACUAUUUACUGAAUAAACUUUAUUUUGCCUCUUGUUAAUUUGGGUUGUCUUCUUAGUAUGUGGUUGCAGGAGUUAUUUUUGGUGAUGGUCAGUCUGGUCAACCACAAGGGAGACACAGAGGAGGCAAAGGAAAAAACAAGUUUCUUAUACUCAAGGUCCUAGAGGGACAGAGUCACUGCAUGCUGACAGGGAGUGAUGUGGAAAAGAGCACCAAGGAAAAAGGCUCAGCCAAGCAAGUGGGGAGCAGAGAGCGGGCAAACACCAGAAGCCAUAGGUUAAGACAUGAGGACUUCUACUGAAACUUCUCUAAAUAUGGAACCAAGACUUCAUCUGAGUUUGAGAUUAAGAGAAGAAAUUAUCACAGCUCCAUGAGGAAGAAAAAAUAAUCUGUGACUUCUGUACCUUCUUCAUGACCACCGGGCAAGACUGACUCUCUGACCAGUGCACAGGAGACUCAUCAAUAUCUAUCUAAGCCCUUUCUCUCUAACAGCUGCCAGAGUUUGGUCUUCUAUCAUCUCAGGCCAAGGAAGCGCAGUGGUUACACUCAUCUCCACUCCGGUCACCUGCUUUCCAUUUUAUGCGAGCAGGUCCUGCCUUACAAAAUAAACGUAUCUGCUGAGAAAUGCCAAUGAGGGAGACAGAAGAGAUCUUCAAAGGGAAAGGCAGAUUUUGUAAGUGGUUGUUGAUGGACCAAAUUCCAUGUUAUAAAUCUUCUCAGGGUGCAGUAGUUGAUAUAACUCCAUUGAGAUGGACCCUGAAAACAAAUAUGCACAAAAGGAAUUUUACAGAUAAAUCCGUGUUCCAUGCCUAGAAUAAAGUAAUACCAUUAUAAUCAUUAUCUGCUUUCAAUAUCCAACCCUGCCAUUUAGUUUCAGCUUCAGGUCCACCGGAUCCUUCAAAUAUUUCUUCAUACAAUCUCCUUUUGUCCCUCAGGACCUGUUGGAAAGAAAGGCGUCCAAUGCUAAUAAGGAAAAGAGAAGAGCCUUCCUCUCCAUGCAGGUUUAAGUCUACUGAAAGUGGAAAUUACUCUUUUAUUUAUAAAUACUGAUAGGACUCUUUUGGUAGCAGGGAACAUGGACCCACUUAUGCAACCUUAAGUAAAAACGGUAAUUUAUGGUAAAGGAAAAUGGAUAGCUGUCAGAAUUCUAAGCAGGAAGGUCAUAAACAAGCUGGAAUCAGAAAGUGGGAGGUUGUUGGGAUCCUUGGAACUACCUCGACCCUGCAAUCAGACAGACUCCUCUACCUGCCCUCUGUGUCCUUGGACAAACUGCUCAACCUCCCUAUGCGUCAGUUUCCUCAUCUGUAAAAUGGGAACAAUGAUAUCCAUCUUUUAAGAUUUUUGUGAGGAUUGAAUGAAUUAAACAAGUAAAGAGAUUGGAUCUAGGUCUGAAAUUUGCUAGCCACUCAAAUACUAGUUAUUUCAUUGGUUGUUUCAUAUUUUCUGCCCACGUAUGUUGACUUCUAUUUUGUUUCUUUUAAAUAAUUUGCCACUUUCUGAAAUUGUCUAAUUUACCUAAUUGCUGACUUGUAGAGCAUGGGUCUUCUCCUCUAGUAUUUAAGGUUUAUCACACCCUCAGUAGAGGGAAGGCAAUGAGUGUUCUGCUACAUGUCCUGUUUGCUGGAGCGGAGAACUUUCAGCCUGUUUCUGACCCAGUCCUCUGAGUACCUCUGCUCUGAAAGUUGUAACUGUCUCUCUUUCCCAGGGCUGUUUCUAUCUCCUUAGCCAAAAAGCCAGACUUCCUAGCCCAAGGAGGGGAGCUCAGUGAACCUCAACUAUAAGGCUGAAUCAAUCAGGAUUAAUGUAGUUUCAAGCCAGACUGAGUAGAUGACCAUUACUACUGCUACUACUUUAAGUUCUGCCCCCUUUGAAGGAUUUCCUUCAUCACUUUCUUUCAAGAACAAUACUAAUUGUGGUUGCAGUAAUACAACAGUCCACUUCCAGUUUUGCUAACAUAUUUUACUAAAUCAUCUGUGAAGCAAGCCCUGGUUUUCCUUCUGUAGUUAUCUAGUUAAAAGGAGUUCCACAUGAGGCUAUAGAUGUGAACUGCAGGAGAGGAGGGAAUGCAGUAAAAGUUGGUACCUUAGCAGUCUGAGCCACCUGCUCAUACAACUUACUUAUGCCUUGUUAAACCCAGUCAUAUAUACAUCAUAUAUAUAUAGAUGUAUUGCUGCUGUGCAUGUACAAUCUUGUGGCUACAUAAAACCCCACUCAUGAUGAGCAGUUCGAAUUGCAGAUUGCGUGGUCACUUGAUGUCCCAUGUUAAGUAUUAAGUUUUUAGUAAGGUCUAGGCAAACUUGAUGCUGUAUCCUAAAAGAACAUUAUCUCCAGAAGAGAGUAUAACUUUUAUCUAAAAUUCUAGAAGUCUGUGCUCUAAUUUUCCUUUUCUGACCCUUAGAAGCACUAUACAACAUCCAUAUUUUCUAUAGUCAUUUCAGGCUACAUCGGAUCUACCACACCACAAGUCUCAAGUGGUCAAGCAGCUUUCAAGGCAAUCUGGAAUUAUUGCAGAGCCUUCUCUUGCCCUGAGCCUCACUCAGAAUUAAUAGUGUUAUGGGCUCCUCAGCAAAUGGGUAAGAGUUGUGCACGUAAAUGAGGAUAUAUUGCAUACAAAUUCCAAAGAUAUCCACCAGGUAUUGUGCCUCUUCUUUAGUAAUAAGAAGGUGCAAGAUGCAGCAAUUUGUUUUAACUCUGAAGACAUUCUGACAUGUGAAUAACAGCAUAAUCUAACUUAUAGGGGUUUCCUGAGAAGAAAAUGAAUUCCUUAGCCCAACACAUGACAUUAAGUAAGUGCUUAAUAAGUAUGAGCUAUGAUGAUGAUGACAAUUAUGUUUAUUAUUACUACCAUACUUGAAAUUUAAGCAAGACUGCAUAGAGAAGGCCUUUUUAGAUUUCCAAAACCUUCCCUUCUCCACCUCCCAACUGCAACAUACUGCAAUCAGAGGAGUAAAAGAAUAGAAAUAAUGUCUGAGGUAGAAGUAAUUGUAUCUAUAUCUCUUCAUAAAAAGUAGAUAUCAAAUUCAAGAAGUCAGUUCUACCUGUGCAAACAGUUGUUAUGUGCUGAAUCAUUUUACAUGUAACAAUAUGUUCCAGUAAAGUCUUAGACCACUUUAUGGUUUUUAACAAAAAUGUGACAGAAAGUGUCCUCACUCCGUACUGAUUCCAUAUGUUUGUGUGAACUUGUAGUCUGGGAAGGAGUGUGGAGAAUGGCUCGGGGAACAGUGACCUCCACCUACAAGAAGAUAAACAGGUCUUUGGGAUUGAAGAACUUAACCCU